AUUGGUUCAUGGACGCUUCGUCUGAUUCUUCGAUGCAUCAUCCUCUCUUGCGGCCUAUUUCCCAAUUGGAUAGUUAACCUCUAUAACUCCAAUUUCCUUGGCGUAAUUUUUGCUCUUCUUCGCCUGAUGCCUGAACUCGUGGCCUGAAGCCUUUGGUCGAUACGUCGACUGAUCCUCCGACUCGACAUCCAAUCUUCUAAUAUGUUCCACUCCGGCC
This 217-nucleotide long non-coding RNA is filed under the name Musa acuminata (dwarf banana). Its description in RNAcentral is "long non-coding RNA (MACU_LNC008981)". Lineage: Eukaryota; Viridiplantae; Streptophyta; Magnoliopsida; Zingiberales; Musaceae. The record is from RNAcentral.